Long non-coding RNA from Symphalangus syndactylus (siamang), 763 nucleotides. RefSeq lists it as uncharacterized. The record is from RefSeq and is a predicted model, not a curated record. Lineage: Eukaryota; Metazoa; Chordata; Mammalia; Primates; Hylobatidae.
UGUGAAGGUUGAUGCUGUGAAUGCGCUCGGUCAUCCCCUUGCAACUGAUGUCACCUGCAGCAUGUCAACGCAGACACAAAACAGGGCAUGGGUCAGAUCUAGCUGGCUGCAUUCCUAACACCUAGGUUUCAGAGUAAAAAUAUAGAGUCAGCCUGUGAUGGCAUUCUCUCGAAACAUGGGAGGAAUUGCAGUAAUGAAAGUCAUCACGUAUUCUAAGUGACUGUUCUGCGAGAGCACAACACAGACGGGCUAAAGCAGGGUGAGAAGCAAAAGUGCUCAGGAGUUAAGAGAAGCAAACGUCCGAAAUUAUCUCCACGCAUUACCAAAAACCGUGGGCACCACGGCACGGGGAAAACUUACCAGGUACAAUGAGCCAGUGACUGUUACUGAAUUUCUUAAGAUUACACUUUUCCCGACUACUGCAGACUGCUUCAGAAUAGAAGAGGACAACUCUCAAGCCAUCAAGCCGACUGACUUUCAAAAAAAUAAAAGAUGCAUUUCUUUACUUGUUUGUCAUUGCUGUGGCUACACUACACCAUGAGCUCCUUGAAGCUAAGGGUUGAGCAAGCUGCACUUAGCCUAUAGAAGCCCAUCAAGCCUGGACGCUAUGGUCUAUUUAUUGAGACCAACCUAUGGGACUUUGGCUUAUCGUGUUUUCUUACAAUUUAUCAUUUCUCUACCUGGUCUGAUGUCCUCACAUCAAUUUAAGAUAUUUUAGUGAUUAAACACAUUUUAUUUUCUCAAUCUUAUUUUUUUUAACCUU